AGAAAAGUAAGCUAAUUAAAAGCUAAUGGGUUCAUACCCCAUCAAUAGAGUAAUUUCUCUCUUCUCUA
Molecule: transfer RNA, 68 nt
Filed under: Polyphaga plancyi
Lineage: Eukaryota; Metazoa; Arthropoda; Insecta; Blattodea; Corydiidae
Description: tRNA-Met
Source: RNAcentral